RNAcentral lists this ribosomal RNA (465 nucleotides) under uncultured bacterium. Its description in RNAcentral is "partial 16S ribosomal RNA". It matches the Rfam family "Bacterial small subunit ribosomal RNA", at positions 28 to 507 of the family's 1533-position model. The record is from RNAcentral.
GACGAACGCUGGCGGCGUGCUUAACACAUGCAAGUCGUACGGUAAGGCCCUUUCGGGGGUACACGAGUGGCGAACGGGUGAGUAACACGUGAGUAACCUGCCCACAACUUUGGGAUAACGCUAGGAAACUGGUGCUAAUACUGGAUAUGUGCUCCUGCUGCAUGGUGGGGGUUGGAAAGCUCCGGCGGUUGUGGAUGGACUCGCGGCCUAUCAGCUUGUUGGUGGGGUAGUGGCCUACCAAGGCGGCGACGGGUAGCCGGCCUGAGAGGGUGACAGGCCACAUUGGGACUGAGAUACGGCCCAGACUCCUACGGGAGGCAGCAGUGGGGAAUAUUGCACAAUGGGCGCAAGCCUGAUGCAGCAACGCCGCGUGCGGGAUGACGGCCUUCGGGUUGUAAACCGCGUUCAGCAGGGACGAAGCUUUUUGUGACGGUACCUGCAGAAGAAGCACCGGCUAACUACGUG